This 561-nucleotide small RNA is filed under the name Pan troglodytes (chimpanzee). RNAcentral's name for it is "processed transcript". Lineage: Eukaryota; Metazoa; Chordata; Mammalia; Primates; Hominidae. The record is from RNAcentral.
AGCCCAGUCCAGCGCUGCCCGUUCAGUCCUCGCCCAAGAUUUAAAGCCCGCAAAUUUUGUUCUUGAGACCAGCGACUUUAGCUCCGAUGCGGGAAGGAAAGCCGACCUCCGAUUUGGACAUUUAAAGAGCUGGGCUUGGACUUCGUGAGUUUCGCUCUAAACUGCCCUUGAAAUGAAGCUGGACUUGGAGGUAAAGUCACUGGGAAGCUGGCCUGGGGCGGGGUUUCCCCCUCUUCUCGUAUUUUAGAAACGGACAGCGGCAGUGCAGCCCUAGUUUGCUGUGGCAUGGAAUGUUCACAUGGGAGAGCCGCAUGAGGCCGCCCACCACGCUUCCUGAAGGAUGCCCGUGUGGAAGAAUUUUGACGUGCCAGUGUCCUCGUUCUACAGGGUGUUCCGUUCUUCCGCAAUCUCAGAAAAAUGGGACUAAAAGAAACUAGUUUGUAAAAUAAGAAGACUUCCAUUUUUAAUGACCAACAUGUAUUAAGAUGGACACCUACUCUACGAAACACGAAGUUCUAUGGUCUGGAAGAAGCCAGUGCCUGUUUAAAACCGAUCCUAACU